This 93-nucleotide transfer RNA is filed under the name Daphnia pulex (common water flea). It matches the Rfam family "tRNA". From Rfam's summary of the family: Transfer RNA (tRNA) molecules are approximately 80 nucleotides in length. Their secondary structure includes four short double-helical elements and three loops (D, anti-codon, and T loops). Further hydrogen bonds mediate the characteristic L-shaped molecular structure. tRNAs have two regions of fundamental functional importance: the anti-codon, which is responsible for specific mRNA codon recognition, and the 3' end, to which the tRNAs corresponding amino acid is attached (by aminoacyl-tRNA synthetases). tRNAs cope with the degeneracy of the genetic code in two manners: having more than one tRNA (with a specific anti-codon) for a particular amino acid; and 'wobble' base-pairing, i.e. permitting non-standard base-pairing at the 3rd anti-codon position. Lineage: Eukaryota; Metazoa; Arthropoda; Branchiopoda; Diplostraca; Daphniidae. The record is from Rfam by way of RNAcentral.
GCCUUCUUAGCUCAGUGGUAGAGCGUUGGUCUCGUAUAACAAUAAUUAACGUAAGAAAACCAAAGGCCGAGAGUUCAAUCCUCUCAGGAGGCA